UACGGGGGGGGCAAGCGUUGUUCGGAAUUACUGGGCGUAAAGGGCUCGUAGGCGGCCAACUAAGUCAGACGUGAAAUCCCUCGGCUUAACCGGGGAACUGCGUCUGAUACUGGAUGGCUUGAGAUUGGGAGAGGGAUGCGGAAUUCCAGGUGUAGCGGUGAAAUGCGUAGAUAUCUGGAGGAACACCGGUGGCGAAGGCGACAUCCUGGACCAACACUGACGCUGAGUGAGCGAAAGCCAGGGGAGCAAACGGG
Molecule: ribosomal RNA, 254 nt
Filed under: uncultured bacterium
Lineage: Bacteria
Description: partial 16S ribosomal RNA
Rfam family: Bacterial small subunit ribosomal RNA
Source: RNAcentral